UGGCAACGCUGCAUCAUUUAUUCAACCAGGUGGCAAGAGAUUGACUUAGCCCACGGAAUUCUUGCAUUUUUCUGUUUAUUUAGUUUUUGUGGUCGUUUUUUGCCGUUUUAAAGAUGAACAAGGUGGAGCCAGCUGUAGAGUUUUUUGGGCCAGAAACCGUUCUGAAAGCGGACGAGGAAGUGGCCGAGGCUUCGGCGUCCGCAAGGAGCAGGCUAUCCGCCGAAGACGACAAGUCGGAGGACAAGAAGAAGCCGGAUACGCCGGAAGACGAACUCAUCUCCAUGGAAACGCUGCGCGCCUCGCCUGUCCAGUGGCCGGAGCGAUUUCCUGGUAUGGAUGAGUUCCUCACCAUGAGCGAUACGCCCAUCUACACGCGAACCACGGACUAUGCCAACAACCUGACCACCGAGGAUACGGCCAAGAUCAAUCAACUAUCCCAACUCACUCCCGAGGAGCUGAUAGAAAAGAUAAAAUCGAUGCAUGACGAGAUCUAUCAGUUGGGACUCCGUGAGGCCAAGGAGAUGACUCGCGGGAAGCUGCUGGGCAUCUUCGAUCGGGAACGCAUUCCCAAGCGGCAGCCAUGAGCUCGGAUCAUCUCAUCCCAGUUAAAUGGGACUGCCGAGGAUCUCGACGAUGUGUAAUUAAGAAUUUAGCCGUAGUUUAAUUGUACAUAAAGAUAUUUUUUAUACAUUUUGGUUCCUACGUCGACAGUACAGUGGUUGUAUUACAGAUACAUUUGAGGAGUCGGAGGAGAGAUGAAGUUAGAAACGUUGCGAGUGGACCUGUGGAGGAGGAAAAGGAGGACGAGGAGUGGUGGAGAAGGCACAGUAGAUUUCGCUAUGCAGGGAAUUUAACGCAACAAAUAACUCUGUCUAUUUGGGGGAGGAUGGAUCGGUUUUUACGUUCGCCUAAAAGGAGUAAUCCAAGAACUAUUUAUGGCAGUUUAUACUGUUUAUACAAUGCCUGAUUAUACAAUAAAUUUAAUAGCAUUUCUUAUGAAAAGUACCCAAUAAAUUUAAAUACCCAAUGAAUUUAAAUUGACAUUUUCAUUGAUUAAUUUGUUAAAAUGAAAAGAAUGCGAAUAUUGUAAUAACUCAUCAUGGUUCUUUGUGACAUAUUAUUUGCUUAAAAAUUUAAGGAGUUAUAUAUAAAUAUAAAUAAAUCUGUGUCUUUAAAUAAUA
Drosophila rhopaloa is the source of this 1181-nucleotide RNA transcript. It is a transcript of the gene named protein lin-52 homolog, with no coding region annotated. The transcript has 5 exons. Lineage: Eukaryota; Metazoa; Arthropoda; Insecta; Diptera; Drosophilidae. The record is from RefSeq and is a predicted model, not a curated record.